RNAcentral lists this ribosomal RNA (253 nucleotides) under uncultured bacterium. RNAcentral describes it as "partial 16S ribosomal RNA". It matches the Rfam family "Bacterial small subunit ribosomal RNA", at positions 524 to 776 of the family's 1533-position model. The record is from RNAcentral.
UACGGGGGGAGCAAGCGUUGUUCGGAUUUACUGGGCGUAAAGGGCGCGUAGGCGGCGUAGCAAGUCACUUGUGAAAUCUCCGGGCUUAACCCGGAGCGGCCAAGUGAUACUGUUGUGCUAGAGUGCGGAAGGGGCUACUGGAAUUCUCGGUGUAGCGGUGAAAUGCGUAGAUAUCGAGAGGAACACCUGCGGCGAAGGCGGGUAGCUGGGCCGACACUGACGCUGAGGCGCGAAAGCCAGGGGAGCGAACGGG